This 468-nucleotide ribosomal RNA is filed under the name uncultured bacterium. Its description in RNAcentral is "partial 16S ribosomal RNA". It matches the Rfam family "Bacterial small subunit ribosomal RNA", at positions 28 to 507 of the family's 1533-position model. The record is from RNAcentral.
GACGAACGCUGGCGGCGUGCUUAACACAUGCAAGUCGAACGGAAAGGCCCUGCUUUUGUGGGGUGCUCGAGUGGCGAACGGGUGAGUAACACGUGAGUAACCUGCCCUGUACUUUGUGAUAACUUCAGGAAACUGGUGCUAAUACCGGAUAGGAGCUCCUGCUGCAUGGUGGGGUUUGGAACGUUUCGGCGGUUGGGGAUGGACUCGCGGCUUAUCAGCUUGUUGGUGGGGUAGUGGCUUACCAAGGCUUUGACGGGUAGCCGGCCUGGGAGGGUGACCGGCCACAUUGGGACUGAGAUACGGCCCAGACUCCUACGGGAGGCAGCAGUGGGGAAUAUUGCACAAUGGGCGGAAGCCUGAUGCAGCGACGCCGCGUGCGGGAUGACGGCCUUCGGGUUGUAAACCGCUUUCGCCUGUGACGAAGCGUGAGUGACGGUAAUGGGUAAAGAAGCACCGGCUAACUACGUG